UACGUAGGGUGCGAGCGUUGUCCGGAAUUAUUGGGCGUAAAGAGCUUGUAGGCGGUUUGUCGCGUCUGCCGUGAAAAUCCGGGGCUCAACCCCGGACUUGCGGUGGGUACGGGCAGACUAGAGUGUGGUAGGGGAGACUGGAAUUCCUGGUGUAGCGGUGAAAUGCGCAGAUAUCAGGAGGAACACCGAUGGCGAAGGCAGGUCUCUGGGCCACUACUGACGCUGAGGAGCGAAAGCGUGGGGAGCAAACAGG
RNAcentral lists this ribosomal RNA (253 nucleotides) under uncultured bacterium. Its description in RNAcentral is "partial 16S ribosomal RNA". It matches the Rfam family "Bacterial small subunit ribosomal RNA", at positions 524 to 776 of the family's 1533-position model. The record is from RNAcentral.